Molecule: long non-coding RNA, 369 nt
Filed under: Hordeum vulgare
Lineage: Eukaryota; Viridiplantae; Streptophyta; Magnoliopsida; Poales; Poaceae
Description: long non-coding RNA (HVUL_LNC001454)
Source: RNAcentral
GCCACCUAGGAACAGGAUAAUUUACAAUAUCAACACUAAGUGGCAACACCUCAAAUGUACACAUUUUCUAGGUUUGUAAUAUGCACAUAGCAUAUUACUCCCCCAUAAUGUGAUAAACCAACAAUAUUAACAAGUGGAAAUUGAAACCAACAAGAGAUAAUUAAUGGACCAUAUAGAAUUUGAAUUUCUCAUGAGUAAGACAUACCACAUAGAAACUAGAUAAUCUUGAAAUAUCAAAACUAAGUGUUAUUCCCCAUGUAUACACAUUUAUAGGAUUGAGAAGUGUGCAAAGCACAUCACUCCCCCACAAUGGGAUAAUCCAUUAAUCUCUCACAAGAGCCAACAAAAAUACAAACAAGACACAAAAGG